UUUGGAUUGAUGCUUCUUGCCUCUCCAUUUUCUUGAUAUAAUUUUCUAUUAUUUCCCGAGAUUUGGGCCUGGACUUUUUAAUCGCCACCGUUUUCCCGAGAUAAGAUUUUCCGAGGUUAUCCUUGACUCUUCCGUCUGGAGAAGAUGGCACUUUCGACGGCCCGCCGCAGAGCCAGCUAACGUGGAGGUGUCGUCCUCCUCACGGCGCAGCCCGAGGGAAAGGACGGAAUCACCGCGGCCGGAAAACGGAGGCGACGCUUUCGCCGCUCGCCAGACGUGGACUAGGCGGGCGGAGAACAAACUUCCGG
Molecule: long non-coding RNA, 308 nt
Filed under: Spirodela polyrhiza (greater duckweed)
Lineage: Eukaryota; Viridiplantae; Streptophyta; Magnoliopsida; Alismatales; Araceae
Description: long non-coding RNA (SPOL_LNC000670)
Source: RNAcentral